This 667-nucleotide ribosomal RNA is filed under the name uncultured rumen protozoa. RNAcentral describes it as "SSU rRNA". It matches the Rfam family "Eukaryotic small subunit ribosomal RNA", at positions 320 to 1072 of the family's 1831-position model. The record is from RNAcentral.
UUUCGAUGGUAGUGUAUUGGACUACCAUGGCUCUCACGGGUAACAGGGAAUUAGGGUUCGAUUCUGGAGAAGGAGCCUGAGAAACGGCUACUACAUCUACGGAAGGCAGCAGGCGCGUAAAUUACCCAAUCCUGAAUCAGGGAGGUGGUGACAAGAUAUAACAACGAGACCUUAAAUCUCGAUUGUAGUGAGGGUUUUCUAAAUAGAACCUAUAGUACGAUUAGAGGGCAAGUCUGGUGCCAGCAGCCGCGGUAAUUCCAGCUCUAAUAGCGUAUAUUAAAGUUGCUGCAGUUAAAAAGCUCGUAGUUGGAUUUCAAGGUUUGUAUUCUCUACCGGGAAUACACCCUACUAGUCAUUGACUGUUACUGUGAGAAAAUUAGAGUGUUUCAAGCAGGCUUUUGCAAGAAUACAUUAGCAUGGAAUAACGAAUGUAUUUAGAAUCGUGGUUUAAUUCUAAAUUACGAUUAAUAGAGACAGUUGGGGGGCAUUAGUAUUUAAUUGUCAGAGGUGAAAUUCUUGGAUUUGUUAAAGACUAACGUAUGCGAAAGCAUUUGCCAAGGAUGUUUCAUUAAUCAAGGACGAAAGAUAGGGAUCAAAGACAAUCAGAUACUGUCGUAGUCCUAUCUAUAAACUAUGCCGACUAGGGAUUGGAGCGGGCAUAUACCAU